UGGGGUCCUUAUGGGGUCUGAGAGGGCUUAUAGGGUCUUUAUGGGGUCUUAUGGGGUCCUUUUGGAGUCUCUAUGGGGUCUUAUGGGGUCUUUAUGGGAUCUGAGAGAGUUUAUGGGGUCCUUAUGGGGUCUGAGAGGGUUUAUAGGGUCUCUAUGGGGGCUUAUAGGGUCCUUAUGGGGUCUGAGAGGGUUUAUAGGGUCUUCUGGGGGUCUUAUGGGGUCCUUAUGGGGUCUGAGAGGGUUUAUAGGGUCUUUAUGGGGUCCUAUAGGGUUUCUAUGGGAUCUUAUGGGGUCUGAGAGGGUUUAUAGGGUCUUUAUGGGGUCCUAUAGGGUCUCUAUGGGGUUCUAUGGGGUCCUUAUGGGGUCUGAGAGGGCUUAUAGGGUCUUUAUGGGGUCCUUAUGGGGUCUGAGAGGGACGCAUAG
This is a long non-coding RNA of Gallus gallus (chicken), 423 nucleotides long. The record is from Ensembl. NCBI's taxonomy places the organism in Eukaryota, Metazoa, Chordata, Aves, Galliformes, Phasianidae.